ACACGACUCUCGGCAACGGAUAUCUAGGCUCUCGCAUCGAUGAAGAACGUAGCAAACUGCGAUACUUGGUGUGAAUUGCAGAAUCCCGUGAACCAUUGAGUCUUUGAACGCAAGUUGCGCCCGAAGCCAUUAGGCCGAGGGCACGUCUGCCUGGGCGUCACGC
Molecule: ribosomal RNA, 163 nt
Filed under: Hoya pubicalyx
Lineage: Eukaryota; Viridiplantae; Streptophyta; Magnoliopsida; Gentianales; Apocynaceae
Description: 5.8S ribosomal RNA
Rfam family: 5.8S ribosomal RNA
About the family: 5.8S ribosomal RNA (5.8S rRNA) is a component of the large subunit of the eukaryotic ribosome. It is transcribed by RNA polymerase I as part of the 45S precursor that also contains 18S and 28S rRNA.
Source: RNAcentral